Molecule: ribosomal RNA, 528 nt
Filed under: Phenoliferia psychrophenolica
Lineage: Eukaryota; Fungi; Basidiomycota; Microbotryomycetes; Kriegeriales; Kriegeriaceae
Description: partial large subunit ribosomal RNA
Rfam family: Eukaryotic large subunit ribosomal RNA
Source: RNAcentral
UAGUAACGGCGAGUGAAGCGGGAAGAGCUCAAAUUUGUAAUCUGGCACCUUCGGUGUCCGAGUUGUAAUCUCGAGAAGUGUUUUCCGCGCCGGACCGCAUACAAGUCUGUUGGAAUACAGCGUCAUAGUGGUGAGAACCCCGUAACUGAUGCGGAUGCCCGGUGCUUUGUGAUACACUUUCGAAGAGUCGAGUUGUUUGGGAAUGCAGCUCAAAUUGGGUGGUAAAUUCCAUCUAAAGCUAAAUAUUGGCGAGAGACCGAUAGCGAACAAGUACCGUGAGGGAAAGAUGAAAAGCACUUUGGAAAGAGAGUUAACAGUACGUGAAAUUGUUGGAAGGGAAACGCUUGAAGUCAGACUUGCUAUUUGGAAUUCAGCCGCAAGGUGUACUUUUCAAUUCGCAGGCCAGCAUCAGUUUUCGGGGGUGGAAAAGGGUAGAGAGAAGGUAGCAAUUUCGGUUGUGUUAUAGCUCUUUGCUGGAUUCAUCCUUGGGGACUGAGGAACGCAGCACGCUUUUUGCAAGGCUUUCGA